Long non-coding RNA from Dermochelys coriacea (leatherback sea turtle), 811 nucleotides. RefSeq lists it as uncharacterized. Lineage: Eukaryota; Metazoa; Chordata; Testudines; Dermochelyidae. The transcript has 3 exons. The record is from RefSeq and is a predicted model, not a curated record.
AGCCAAAGCCCAAUUAAAGAAAAAAAUUUAAAGCUUUAAAACCAACUACUCUCUGACCUCUUUACAAUACAUUUUUAAGUGCCUUCAUUUGGUUAUAUUUUACUGUAUAUUGUUCACAUUUUAAAAACCCAAACAAAAAUGCAUUUAAUGCCAAUCUCUAAUUAUCUUCUAUUUAUCUUUUAAUUAAGAUAUAGAAAAUUGCUGCUUUUCUUCUCUGGGGACUAACUUAAUUUGCAACCUUAGAAAGUCUGUCAAUUAUUUCCAGUUUAAUCUAUUCAGUUUUGUCUGUGAUUGUUUUAAAUAUUUGUGUGAUAUUAAAACGCCCAGGGGGAACUCUGAAGAGUUAUGGUCACCGAGAAAACAACAACAUUUCUCCUUUUAUGUUUCUGUGUGCUUGAUUAAAUAAGAAUUACAGGAUGCAGCUCAUAUGCACAUUCAUAACCCAGCAAGACAGACACCUGUUGGGUAAGGUUUGGAACAAUAUGCAAAAUUAACAUGAAAAAUCCGAUAGAGGCUCUGGUGCAGACAUGUCACGGAAGCUUCUUUUAUUAUAACACGUCAUCACAAAUUUAAGAUGGAAUUUGCUUCAGGCUUUUACUAAAGGAAGAAGUAAAUACCAUUCUUCUUAGCUAUUUGGUUGAAACUGGAAACCAAUGUGUCAUUGUUUCCUGUCAGACAAUGCUUUACACAUUUCAAUAUCACCAUACAGACUGUAAAAACACUGGACCAUGUUCUCUUCUCCACUAACACAAUGGUUUUCAAUCUUUUUUCAUUUGCAGACCCCUACAAAAUUUCAAAUAGAGAUGUGAAC